AGCACGAGCCCCAGAAUGGGACGAUAGGAGGAAGUGUGCUUUGAGGAUGAAGGAUGAAGUUAUCGUUCCAACCAAAUGCAUCAUUUCCUACUGGGAGGCUUCGUGGGGCACUAUAAAAGGCACCCCAUCUCCCUAGGUUCUUCACAAUCUCACUUCCAUUCUCUAUUGAUACUACACUCCUAACAUCUCCAAAAGAAAUGGGCAACUCCGGUUCAGGUGGUGGCUGUGACUGCUGCGGUGGAGGCGGUGGAGGUGAAUCCAUGAUGAUUGUCUCCUGUCCAGGGAACAACAACUGCUGCCCCUCUCCCUGUUGCUGUGCUCCACGGUGCUGCGUCCCGUGUUGCAACCAGUGUUGCACCCAGUGUUGCGCCCCUUGCUGUUGCCAAGGCUGCUGCAAGUGAAAGCCAACUCCACUAGAACCAUCUUCUGGAUGUGGCCCUUUAACUCUCUUUCCCUCCUGGGUUUGCCAUCUUUUCUGUUUCUGCAACCCAAUCUGACCUGUUGACUAUUUCUAUCAUGCUUAAUAUCUUCUUUGACCUAUGCUUGAACUUGGUAUUUCCUUGGAACAUGAUUUCUCAAGCUUAAAGGGGAAUCUGGGAACUUUAGUUCCUCUCCCCCAAAGACCAUGCUCUUUCUUAAAGCUCUGCCCCUUUCUAUCCCUAGACUCUAUUAAAUCUACUUUUGUUCUAUUUCAUGAUUUGUCUCGCCCUCGGCUUUAUUGCUUCCCAUUCCUUCACAAGCUUGCAGUCGGCCCAUCUUGAACGUUGGCUGGAAAAUCCAUAGACUCUUUUUGCCCCAAUUCUCCUGAAAUGCAUGCAAUUUCCUCCACCUAUGCAGUUUUGCAAACAAUUCCUCACAUUUCUCUCUCUGUGUAUAUGCAUUUCCCCUUAAUUUAUGGUCACGGUUUUGGAGAACUCUGUGAUAGCUUUCAAAGAAGUACGAAUUGGUUUGUUUAUUGGUUCCCAAAGUUCCAUUGGAACAUUUUUGUGUUAAAAUGCAAACUAAACAAGUCCCGUCCUCUCCACAGUUAGGAUGGGCCUCGUUUAGUCCUCCUUCUAGCCUAGGUCUACUACUAGUCUCUUUUCUUCUCCUGCUCUGCUAUUUGUCUUCUGAGUCUUGCUUCUCAUCACUACAUGAAAAACCAAGGAGGAGACAUAAUAACGUUGGGUCGGGACUCAGGAGAUCCAAGGACUAACUCUCUCAUGUAUCCAUGCAAGUCACCAGAUGAGUUUGAACCACGAUGACGUGUCUCUCUUGGUGAGGAAAGAGGAGAACCAUUGACUUCACCAUGAGCUUAUCGGAAGAAAGGAGGAUUGACAUUUAUUAACAACUCACCACUACAAUGAAGGAUGAACCCAUAAUGGAAGAUACAUCUACCACAUGGACGGAUUGUCAGUUGGGAUUAGUAUCUUUCCCAUCUUCCACACUUUUGUAGUAUCCCUUCAUAAAUCCACCCUGAAGGGGAGGCUGUAGACAAUUCCAUCCAUAGCUCAUGCCCACCAUCAGGAGCUAUGUCAACUGAAUAUGUGAAAGGACAAUGCCUCCUCUUCCUACUCCAACUCAGGACCUCAUGGAGAUACAGUGAUUCCAAGUUCAACUCAGGAUUCUCUCUCUCUGCUGCUUGUAAUGUCUUGCCAUUUCCAAAAACUUGCAUGCUUAUUCAAAUAAAAAAGUAUUAUACUAA
This is a long non-coding RNA of Anolis carolinensis (green anole), 1684 nucleotides long. RefSeq lists it as uncharacterized. The transcript is spliced from 2 exons. The record is from RefSeq and is a predicted model, not a curated record. NCBI's taxonomy places the organism in Eukaryota, Metazoa, Chordata, Lepidosauria, Squamata, Anolidae.